Molecule: ribosomal RNA, 245 nt
Filed under: Klebsiella pneumoniae
Lineage: Bacteria; Pseudomonadati; Pseudomonadota; Gammaproteobacteria; Enterobacterales; Enterobacteriaceae
Description: partial 23S ribosomal RNA
Rfam family: Bacterial large subunit ribosomal RNA
Source: RNAcentral
GUCAAACGCAGCGGCCGCGUCAGACGUGUAUAAGAAUCAGCAAUAGACCCGAAACACGGUGAUCUAGCAAUGGGCAGGUUGAAGGUUGGGUAACAAUAACUGGAGGACCGAACCGACUAAUGUUGAAAAAUUAGCGGAUGACUUGUGGCUGGGGGUGAAAGGCCAAUCAAACCAGGAGAUAGCUGGUUCUGCCCGAAAGCUAUUUAGGUAGAGCCUCGUGAACUCAACUUCGGGGGUAGAGCACC